GAACGCGGUGUGGUGUAUCAAUGCGCAAUCGCAUGAGAACGUUUCUCGAGUCGAGGUCUGGAGCGAGGAAUAAACAGAGUAGAGAGACCGAACAGAGAGAGAAAGAGCGACGCACCAGCAGGCAGAGACGAUCACGAUGCUCGGAGGAAACGGCAAGCGGCCAGGGGCACAGGGCUGAGGGCUGAGGGCUCAGCGAGGGCUCUCCUUUUUAAUAAAAGAGUUUUAUUACGUUUAAUUGCGGGCGCAGCGAUGGAACAAACCAAACCGCCCUCAUCCCGACUACUUAAUACGUCCUGCAUCGAGAACAAGGACGACUUGGAGGAGAAAUUUGAACGCUGCCACACCGUGCUUCAGAAUCUGACCUCGGGACUGUCGGAAAAGGAAGCUCACGAUACCUUGAACAAUGCGGUGUGCAAAGAUAAAACUCAUGAGGAAGUGUCGUUAGGAUUAUUGGUGGUGAUAUUGACAGAGCCUCAAGAAGCGGCCAAAAGUUAUAGAGAUUUGACGCUGAUAACGAGGGAUGGAUUGGCAAUUGUAUUGGGCCACUUGAAUCAGCUAGUCCUAGAAAGAUAUUUGAGAUUGAAUGACGUAGCACGAGGUCAAUUGCUGUGGCUGUUACGAGAAAUGAUAAGAACCAGCGUAGCCAAUGUUGAUAAUUUGUGUUUGAGUUUAUUGAGGCACGCAGCCGGCGGCGACACCACACCCAGGAACCUCUUUCUCGUGGAUGCUCUUCUUGACAUAUUUCAAGAGAACAGACCAUGGCUCGACAAAAAUCCCCUUCUUGUUGCUUCUAUUGUUUAUUCUUAUUUGCGGCUGAUAGAAGAUCACAGUGCCCCUCAUCUAGCUGCUCUCAGACAGAAAGAAAUCACUUUCCUUGUUACUCUCAUUCGAGAGCGCAUGGUGGAUUGCUUAGUCAUCGGAAGAGACUUGGUGAGGUUGCUUCAGAACGUGGCGAGAAUCCAAGAAUUUGAGAGUCUCUGGAAGGAUCUCCUGUUAAAUCCAAAGUCCCUAUGUCCGAGUUUCACGAGCGUUCUGCAGUUGUUGCAAACGAGAACGUCCAGAAGGUUUCUGCAGUCCAGAUUGACUCCCGACAUGGAGAGAAAACUCGUGUUUCUCACGAGCCAAGUACGCUUUGGAAAUCACAAGCGUUACCAAGACUGGUUUCAGAGACAGUAUCUCGCAACACCAGAGUCACAGUCGUUGAGAUGUGAUCUCAUACGAUUUAUCGUUGGCGUUAUACAUCCGACGAAUGAAUUACUGUGUUCAGACAUAAUACCACGUUGGGCCGUGAUCGGUUGGCUUUUGACGACUUGUACCUCGACCGUCGCGGCUAGUAACGCAAAACUCGCACUUUUCUAUGAUUGGCUCUUCUUCGAACCGGAAAAAGACAACAUAAUGAACAUCGAGCCUGCCAUCCUCGUGAUGCACAAUUCUAUGAGGUCCCAUCCUGCUGUCACUGCCACACUAUUAGAUUUUCUAUGCCGCAUUAUUCCAAAUUUCUAUCCGGCACUCACGGACAAAGUUCGAAACGGAAUUUUCUCCUCGCUCAGACAAAUUCUCGAGAAACGUGUUCUUCCCAGUUUGUAUCCGCUUUUCGACAGCCCGAAAUUGGAUCGCGAAUUGAGAACGAAAAUUCGGGAAACUUUCAAAGAAUUUUGUCUACCACCUAAUACGGAUCCGGCAGCGGGUAAUAAGGUUCCCAUACUGUAUUCAGGUAAAAUGGAAGAGCUGAACAAGGAUUUAGGACCGGGACUAAUGCUCGACAAUAGUGGAAAUUCAGCGAUGGAGAAUAAUCACGUGAGCCAUGGACCAGAGCCGGCGUUCAGUGACGAUGAAGAAGAAAUGCCCUUGAGGAUAGUAACAAAAGCGGAGGAGGAAGAGGACGAAGAGGAUAUUCCGCUUGCGACAGUGAAAUUGAAAAACGAGCAAAAAAUCGCGGCGGCAAAUUGCGUGCCGAAGAAGGAUGAAAUAACGACGCAAUUGAAUCUUAUUUUGGAGCCUGAGGAACUUAAAGCAGCUGUUGAGAGUUUGCACAGCGAGACCGAUAACGAAGUCAAGUGUCAAACGAUGGAAAGGAUAGUUCAAAUGGUGAUCGAGGAUGAAAUCGACGGAGAAAUGAUUUCUUCUCUCGCGACUUGUAUCUCGACCAUUCUCGCUCCGCAAAUAACGGAUCAAAUAUUCCCUACGGAAAAUACCAACGACGAAGCCUUCACCGACAGCAUAAGCACUCCCAUAUUUGUCAUGUUUAGAAAUCAAUUCCAACUCUGUAAGGAAGAAGACAAUAGAAGAAAACUUUUGGCCCGAGUAUUGGCUGAAAUUCAAGCUAUACAACCGAGGAUAGGGUAUCUUUUGUUAUAUUUCUUGAAGGUUUGGGGCAGAGAAGAGGAAAAACGAGAAGGAGAACCAAGUAAACUUUUGAACGACGUCAAAGCAUCUGUGUACAAAGAUUUUUGCGGACAACGGGAAAAAAAGUUGGAGGCGUGCUUGGUAUCGGACCUGAAGCUUUGUCACGAAGACAGCAUAUGCAUGUUGUGUUACCUGGUACCUGACGUUUUUACCGGAUUCCAAAACGUCACGUUGGGCAACGCGCAACUGUUGCAUCUGGUCGUAUCGACCGUUGAUUCGCGCCAAUUGCAAGAUUUAAUCUGCGAAAUAAUGCAAGGACAUCUGAAAAUGUUAAAGAAGGAAUCCUUCACGGCGCUCUUGACUGCCAGUUUAAAUUGGGAAACUUUUGAACAAUAUUGCUUCUGGCAAUUGAUAUGUGCUCACGAUUUUCCCAUCGAAUACGUACUGCCGGUUUUACCGAAGCUUCAAUUUCGUGAUCACGCUGAAGCGCUUACGUCAAUAUUGUUCAUGCUCAAACAGGAAAAACCAACGAUGGAACUCCUGAGACAAUUACUGGCGCGGCAAAGCGCAGACGGUGACAUGUUCGUAGUUGCGGCGUUGCGUUAUUGGUGUCGCGACUACGAGGACAAACUUAGUGAACUCUUGGCGAAUCUCUUGAGCACGCGUUAUCCAGCGACAAGUCCGAACAAGCGAAAGCGUACCGGGGCCAAACAGAAUCAACAAUCGGGUCCACCGACGGGAGAGCAAGUUUUGGGGCAUUUGGAUCAGUUGAGGCAACACUGCAACACAGACGCCGAGUUACAGUUGUACCAGACCGAAGGAAUGCAACGAGCUCUUCAACAAGCUCAAGCAGCCGGCAGCGAUUCGCUUAGAAAAAAUUACGGCGACUUAUUCGCUCUCGCUGAGGUGAGCGAGGAAAACGAACCACCUCCACCUCCACCAACGAGCUCGUCGAGAAAACACGCGACCGCAUCUUCGGGCGCAGCAACUGGGAAAGGACACAGAAAAAUUGGAGCCAGUACGAGAGAAAGAUCUGCUUCCAAAAGAGCACCCCCGAGAGAUAGAACCACCGAGAGUAGCGACCAAAGUAGCGAGGAGGAAGAAAUCGUAAAACCAAAGCAAGCAAAAAAGAGAAAAAAGAUGAACCCGGUGGAUUCGGACAGCGACUGACCACCCAGUGUCUUCAUACGUCAAAUGGACCACUAUACGUGUGUGCAGCGAGCUACGUUAGCCUUAAAAACCUUUACUUGAGGAGUUCUAUAUCUGCUUGGAUCGUUGAGCCAUUGAUGGGGAUCGUUAAUAGGACCGAUUUGGGAAAUUCCUCGUCUCGUUACAAAAUAGUGUGUACGUAUGACGGUUUUUAUACAUGAAACAGAAAAAAUAAUAAAAAAUACGAAUGUGGAUCGAACGUAAGUGCUAAACGGAUGGAAAAACAUCGUGCUUGGAAAAUUGAACAGGUGCGUAGUGAGAGAAACGAAAAACAAUGAUCUCGCGGCUACAAUAUUUUCAUCUCGCGUUACCCGCACUGCCGUUCGUGCAGUUUGUACGAAAAUUCGUUAUAGUUUUUUUAAAUAGAAAUUUCGAUGAAGAUUGAAAAAUGGAAAACUUUACGUUAUUGUACGAGAAAAAUAACUCCGUCGAAAGCCGACCAAAGUGUGUCUCCACUCGUUGAAAUGUUGUACGAUCGAACGCGUAUUUAUUCGAGUCUACGCUUAGUCAGCACGACGAUUCCCCUGAAAGUAGAUCUUUUUGCGUUUUUCUUGCAACUUUUGUACCAGAUAGGUUGGAUCGAGCGGCCGACUCUGCGUCGCCGUUUUUUUCUCCUUUUUCCUCUGCCGGCGACCUCACAAUUCACAAUUUGCUCGAAAGUUCCGGCAAUUGAGAGCGAAUACAAAAGUGCGGUGAAUUCGGACACAUCGAUCGCGCACAGUUGUCUAAUACGCCUAGAAAUUAUUGUAAACAGUUGUUGAUAUCGUGUAUUAAGCGUUUGUAAAUUCGACGAAUUUAUUCAUGUUAUCCUUUUUUUUUUUAUUCAAUUCUCGGAACGAAGAGAGCGAACAGGAGAGAGAGAGAGAGAGAGAAAAAGGGUGCAAGAGGGAACAAAAAUUCUCAAAUGACGAUCUCGUAACUGGUAACGAGAGAUGGGCUUCAAUUUACUAUAAAAUCUUUAUGGAAUGAAAUAUGCACUAUUUGUUUUAUUUAAUUUGCCAAUAUUCGUUUUCUUUUUUCGGAUCGAGACUGGAAUGGCAUGGAAAACAGUGUUUCAAUUCGUUAUUCUUUCCAUUUUUAAAACUUCUUCGAUGCAAAAGUUAUUAUUCAGAGUUUGCAUAAAUAAUAUGUUCCAAGGAUAAAUUUAUCAUCAAAAUUUUGUACAAUAACGAUCAAUAAUUUUACAAAAGUUUACUAGUACUUUUUCUUUUCAUCGUGUGCUGCCCCUCUCUGCUCGUAUCCCUUCAAGUUUUAUCGUACAUUUUAAUUGAGAGCGCUCUCGACCCGACAACUGCGAUAACAGCGAAAGUGUGAGAAAGAGAUAGAAAAAAUGGUAAACGUGAGGAUUGAAUGAAAUGGGUCAAGAAACGUGAAUUACAAACGUGUAUUCACCCCGUAAUGUGUACAUUUCCUGUAAAAUCAGUUACUCUAGUUUAAGUAGCUGCGUUAUGUAUUUUGUAGGUUGUACAUAUUGAAGCCGCGAAAAUGAAACAGGAAAAAAAUGGGAAACCGUGAGAAAGGAAAGCGAAAGAAAAGAGAAAAUAAUUUUAGAGAAAAAGUCGCGCUUGAUUCUCAAUUGAAACAUUGCGUUUAUUAACAUAAAUUUUUCGUCCUUCUCCCCAAGAGCCCAAAAAGACCAUUGAAACGAAACAAAAACGCAAGAAAACCGAUUAAUGAAAAAAACCUCCUUUUUUCGUAUUCGUGGUAAUUUGCACAUUUUGUUUUGCGGUCAAAUCGAGCGGGUAAAAAAAAACGUGUACAAUGUAUUCAUAAUCGCAUAAAUGCAAUUAAUCAAGAUUAUAGUUGUCAGCGCCAUUAGAAUUUUUCUACGUGUACAUAAGAACGAAAAACAAAACUCAAAAUGAAGAACAAUUAAUAAGUCGACGAUAGCAUGAAUAUACUGGGAAUUAAAAAUAAUCAAGGCGUGAAAUACCGUGCUUGAUGAGUCAGGUGUGACGAAUAAGAAAAAAAAAAACAAA
This 5534-nucleotide unclassified non-coding RNA is filed under the name Venturia canescens. RNAcentral describes it as "integrator complex subunit 3, transcript variant X3". The record is from RNAcentral. Lineage: Eukaryota; Metazoa; Arthropoda; Insecta; Hymenoptera; Ichneumonidae.